RNAcentral lists this ribosomal RNA (2515 nucleotides) under Escherichia coli. RNAcentral's name for it is "bacterial LSU rRNA". It matches the Rfam family "Bacterial large subunit ribosomal RNA", at positions 308 to 2812 of the family's 2925-position model. Lineage: Bacteria; Pseudomonadati; Pseudomonadota; Gammaproteobacteria; Enterobacterales; Enterobacteriaceae. The record is from RNAcentral.
GCCUGAAUCAGUGUGUGUGUUAGUGGAAGCGUCUGGAAAGGCGCGCGAUACAGGGUGACAGCCCCGUACACAAAAAUGCACAUGCUGUGAGCUCGAUGAGUAGGGCGGGACACGUGGUAUCCUGUCUGAAUAUGGGGGGACCAUCCUCCAAGGCUAAAUACUCCUGACUGACCGAUAGUGAACCAGUACCGUGAGGGAAAGGCGAAAAGAACCCCGGCGAGGGGAGUGAAAAAGAACCUGAAACCGUGUACGUACAAGCAGUGGGAGCACAGAGCAAUCUGUGUGACUGCGUACCUUUUGUAUAAUGGGUCAGCGACUUAUAUUCUGUAGCAAGGUUAACCGAAUAGGGGAGCCGAAGGGAAACCGAGUCUUAACUGGGCGUUAAGUUGCAGGGUAUAGACCCGAAACCCGGUGAUCUAGCCAUGGGCAGGUUGAAGGUUGGGUAACACUAACUGGAGGACCGAACCGACUAAUGUUGAAAAAUUAGCGGAUGACUUGUGGCUGGGGGUGAAAGGCCAAUCAAACCGGGAGAUAGCUGGUUCUCCCCGAAAGCUAUUUAGGUAGCGCCUCGUGAAUUCAUCUCCGGGGGUAGAGCACUGUUUCGGCAAGGGGGUCAUCCCGACUUACCAACCCGAUGCAAACUGCGAAUACCGGAGAAUGUUAUCACGGGAGACACACGGCGGGUGCUAACGUCCGUCGUGAAGAGGGAAACAACCCAGACCGCCAGCUAAGGUCCCAAAGUCAUGGUUAAGUGGGAAACGAUGUGGGAAGGCCCAGACAGCCAGGAUGUUGGCUUAGAAGCAGCCAUCAUUUAAAGAAAGCGUAAUAGCUCACUGGUCGAGUCGGCCUGCGCGGAAGAUGUAACGGGGCUAAACCAUGCACCGAAGCUGCGGCAGCGACACUGUGUGUUGUUGGGUAGGGGAGCGUUCUGUAAGCCUGUGAAGGUGUGCUGUGAGGCAUGCUGGAGGUAUCAGAAGUGCGAAUGCUGACAUAAGUAACGAUAAAGCGGGUGAAAAGCCCGCUCGCCGGAAGACCAAGGGUUCCUGUCCAACGUUAAUCGGGGCAGGGUGAGUCGACCCCUAAGGCGAGGCCGAAAGGCGUAGUCGAUGGGAAACAGGUUAAUAUUCCUGUACUUGGUGUUACUGCGAAGGGGGGACGGAGAAGGCUAUGUUGGCCGGGCGACGGUUGUCCCGGUUUAAGCGUGUAGGCUGGUUUUCCAGGCAAAUCCGGAAAAUCAAGGCUGAGGCGUGAUGACGAGGCACUACGGUGCUGAAGCAACAAAUGCCCUGCUUCCAGGAAAAGCCUCUAAGCAUCAGGUAACAUCAAAUCGUACCCCAAACCGACACAGGUGGUCAGGUAGAGAAUACCAAGGCGCUUGAGAGAACUCGGGUGAAGGAACUAGGCAAAAUGGUGCCGUAACUUCGGGAGAAGGCACGCUGAUAUGUAGGUGAAGUCCCUCGCGGAUGGAGCUGAAAUCAGUCGAAGAUACCAGCUGGCUGCAACUGUUUAUUAAAAACACAGCACUGUGCAAACACGAAAGUGGACGUAUACGGUGUGACGCCUGCCCGGUGCCGGAAGGUUAAUUGAUGGGGUCAGCGCAAGCGAAGCUCUUGAUCGAAGCCCCGGUAAACGGCGGCCGUAACUAUAACGGUCCUAAGGUAGCGAAAUUCCUUGUCGGGUAAGUUCCGACCUGCACGAAUGGCGUAAUGAUGGCCAGGCUGUCUCCACCCGAGACUCAGUGAAAUUGAACUCGCUGUGAAGAUGCAGUGUACCCGCGGCAAGACGGAAAGACCCCGUGAACCUUUACUAUAGCUUGACACUGAACAUUGAGCCUUGAUGUGUAGGAUAGGUGGGAGGCUUUGAAGUGUGGACGCCAGUCUGCAUGGAGCCGACCUUGAAAUACCACCCUUUAAUGUUUGAUGUUCUAACGUGGACCCGUGAUCCGGGUUGCGGACAGUGUCUGGUGGGUAGUUUGACUGGGGCGGUCUCCUCCUAAAGAGUAACGGAGGAGCACGAAGGUUGGCUAAUCCUGGUCGGACAUCAGGAGGUUAGUGCAAUGGCAUAAGCCAGCUUGACUGCGAGCGUGACGGCGCGAGCAGGUGCGAAAGCAGGUCAUAGUGAUCCGGUGGUUCUGAAUGGAAGGGCCAUCGCUCAACGGAUAAAAGGUACUCCGGGGAUAACAGGCUGAUACCGCCCAAGAGUUCAUAUCGACGGCGGUGUUUGGCACCUCGAUGUCGGCUCAUCACAUCCUGGGGCUGAAGUAGGUCCCAAGGGUAUGGCUGUUCGCCAUUUAAAGUGGUACGCGAGCUGGGUUUAGAACGUCGUGAGACAGUUCGGUCCCUAUCUGCCGUGGGCGCUGGAGAACUGAGGGGGGCUGCUCCUAGUACGAGAGGACCGGAGUGGACGCAUCACUGGUGUUCGGGUUGUCAUGCCAAUGGCACUGCCCGGUAGCUAAAUGCGGAAGAGAUAAGUGCUGAAAGCAUCUAAGCACGAAACUUGCCCCGAGAUGAGUUCU